RNAcentral lists this transfer RNA (73 nucleotides) under Paragonimus skrjabini miyazakii. RNAcentral's name for it is "Paragonimus miyazakii tRNA". It matches the Rfam family "tRNA". Rfam says of the family: Transfer RNA (tRNA) molecules are approximately 80 nucleotides in length. Their secondary structure includes four short double-helical elements and three loops (D, anti-codon, and T loops). RNAcentral also lists the same sequence under 1 other name. Lineage: Eukaryota; Metazoa; Platyhelminthes; Trematoda; Plagiorchiida; Troglotrematidae. The record is from Rfam by way of RNAcentral.
GUCCCGGUGGCGCAAUGGAUAGCGCGUCGGACUUCUAAUCCGGAGGUUGUGGGUUCGAGUCCCACCCGGGACG